AGUCCAUGUGGAGGCGAUGAACCAGGGCGUUUUGCUGGUCGCUCACUGACAUAGGCGUCGGUGAAGCCCUGGGGAGCCAGUAGCGAAACCGGCCACAGGCU
This 101-nucleotide non-coding RNA is filed under the name Chloroflexota bacterium. RNAcentral's name for it is "Chloroflexi bacterium c-di-GMP-II sequence". It matches the Rfam family "c-di-GMP-II-GAG riboswitch aptamer". The record is from RNAcentral. Lineage: Bacteria; Bacillati; Chloroflexota.